UGUCAGGUGGUGUAGUGGUUUCAGUGUUGGACUACAACUCUGGAGAACAGAGUUCGAAUCCUUGCUUGGCCA
Non-coding RNA from Phrynosoma platyrhinos (Desert horned lizard), 72 nucleotides. NCBI's taxonomy places the organism in Eukaryota, Metazoa, Chordata, Lepidosauria, Squamata, Phrynosomatidae. The record is from the annotation of a GenBank genome assembly.